CCCUUAGAUGUUCUGGGCAGCACGCGCGCUACAAUGGUCUUCGCAAACGGAUGCAUUCUCGAAGGAGAAUGCCAAUCUUGGAAUCUAUGCCUUGGUCGGGACAGUUGCUUGCAAUUUUUCGACUCGAACCAGGAAUUCCUUGUAAUCGUGAUUCAUCACAUCACGAUGAAUACGUCCCUGCCCUUUGUACACACCGCCCGUCGCUCCUACCGAUCGAAGAGUUAGGUGAAUUGUUUUGAUCGAUAAGAUUUGACUAUGGUCAACUCUCGUUGUGAAAUUCUGUGAAUCUGACUGUUUAGAGUAAGGAAAAGUCGUAACA
Molecule: ribosomal RNA, 319 nt
Filed under: uncultured eukaryote
Lineage: Eukaryota
Description: partial 18S ribosomal RNA
Rfam family: Eukaryotic small subunit ribosomal RNA
Source: RNAcentral